UACGUAGGGUGCGAGCGUUGUCCGGAAUUAUUGGGCGUAAAGAGCUUGUAGGCGGUCUGUCGCGUCUGCUGUGAAAAUCCGGGGCUCAACCCCGGACUUGCAGUGGGUACGGGCAGACUAGAGUGUGGUAGGGGGAGACUGGAAUUCCUGGUGUAGCGGUGAAAUGCGCAGAUAUCAGGAGGAACACCGAUGGCGAAGGCAGGUCUCUGGGCCACUACUG
RNAcentral lists this ribosomal RNA (220 nucleotides) under uncultured bacterium. Its description in RNAcentral is "partial 16S ribosomal RNA". It matches the Rfam family "Bacterial small subunit ribosomal RNA", at positions 524 to 742 of the family's 1533-position model. The record is from RNAcentral.